AUGCACGCUGGCGGCGUGCUUAACACAUGCAAGUCGAACGGAAAGGCUCCUGCUUGCAGGGGUACUCGAGUGGCGAACGGGUGAGUAACACGUGGGUGAUCUGCCCUGCACUUCGGGAUAAGCCUGGGAAACUGGGUCUAAUACCGGAUAGGACGAUGGUUUGGAUGCCAUUGUGGAAAGUUUUUCGGUGUGGGAUGAGCUCGCGGCCUAUCAGCUUGUUGGCGGGGUAAUGGCCUACCAAGGCGUCGACGGGUAGCCGGCCUGAGAGGGUGUACGGCCACAUUGGGACUGAGAUACGGCCCAGACUCCUACGGGAGGCAGCAGUGGGGAAUAUUGCACAAUGGGCGCAAGCCUGAUGCAGCGACGCCGCGUGGGGGAUGACGGCCUUCGGGUUGUAAACUCCUUUCGCUAGGGACGAGGCGCAAGUGACGGUACCUGGAGAAGAAGCACCGGCUAACUACGUG
RNAcentral lists this ribosomal RNA (464 nucleotides) under uncultured bacterium. Its description in RNAcentral is "partial 16S ribosomal RNA". It matches the Rfam family "Bacterial small subunit ribosomal RNA", at positions 29 to 507 of the family's 1533-position model. The record is from RNAcentral.